Eriocheir sinensis (Chinese mitten crab) is the source of this 349-nucleotide long non-coding RNA. RefSeq lists it as uncharacterized. The record is from RefSeq and is a predicted model, not a curated record. Lineage: Eukaryota; Metazoa; Arthropoda; Malacostraca; Decapoda; Varunidae. The transcript is spliced from 4 exons.
GUCAGUUGCAUUUCAAACAUUGUGGUGGUCGGAUGUACUCGCUCCAACACAGUGACACUCCAUGUACAAGUUAUUCUGGCCCUGGUCACACCGACCCAUAGUUCUUCCGCCCUUGGUGAUUCCGGCCUGCCUUGUAAAUAACUCUGACUCCCCAAGGUAGACUGAAUCUACUGCAAGGCAUCAUGGACCGGUUUCAUACAUAUGCAUCUCUGGUUGGCUGGCAUAAGCAUGAUCCUGUGAGCUAGUGUUACUCCUGGCAACUACUUUUGACUAGUUCUUCCUGUGAAACAGCUGUCUUUCAAAGAUGCCGAGGUCAUGCUGUGUGCCAGGAUGCAAGUCCAACUAUAAA